GACGAACGCUGGCGGCGUGCCUAAUACAUGCAAGUCGAACGCACUCUCGUUAGAUUGAAGAAGCUUGCUUCUGAUUGAUAACAUUUGAGUGAGUGGCGGACGGGUGAGUAACACGUGGGUAACCUGCCCUAAAGUGGGGGAUAACAUUUGGAGACAGAUGCUAAUACCGCAUAAAAACCUAGCACCGCAUGGUGCAAGGUUGAAAGAUGGUUUCGGCUAUCACUUUAGGAUGGACCCGCGGUGCAUUAGUUAGUUGGUGAGGUAAAGGCUCACCAAGACCGUGAUGCAUAGCCGACCUGAGAGGGUAAUCGGCCACACUGGGACUGAGACACGGCCCAGACUCCUACGGGAGGCAGCAGUAGGGAAUCUUCCACAAUGGACGAAAGUCUGAUGGAGCAACGCCGCGUGAGUGAAGAAGGUUUUCGGAUCGUAAAACUCUGUUGUUGGAGAAGAACGUAUUUGAUAGUAACUGAUCAGGUAGUGACGGUAUCC
This 492-nucleotide ribosomal RNA is filed under the name uncultured bacterium. RNAcentral's name for it is "bacterial SSU rRNA". It matches the Rfam family "Bacterial small subunit ribosomal RNA", at positions 28 to 480 of the family's 1533-position model. The record is from RNAcentral.